UCUUAUCAAGAGAGGCGGAGGGACCGGCCCGUUGAAACCUCAGCAGCAGACCAUUUAUGGAACUGUGCUAAUUCCUGGAGCGAAAGCUCCCAGAU
RNAcentral lists this non-coding RNA (95 nucleotides) under Candidatus Salinicoccus merdavium. RNAcentral describes it as "SAM riboswitch (S box leader)". It matches the Rfam family "SAM riboswitch aptamer (S box leader)". From Rfam's summary of the family: The SAM riboswitch is found upstream of a number of genes which code for proteins involved in methionine or cysteine biosynthesis in Gram-positive bacteria. The record is from RNAcentral. Lineage: Bacteria; Bacillati; Bacillota; Bacilli; Caryophanales; Staphylococcaceae.